RNAcentral lists this transfer RNA (73 nucleotides) under Ornithorhynchus anatinus (platypus). It matches the Rfam family "tRNA". Rfam says of the family: Transfer RNA (tRNA) molecules are approximately 80 nucleotides in length. Their secondary structure includes four short double-helical elements and three loops (D, anti-codon, and T loops). The record is from Rfam by way of RNAcentral. Lineage: Eukaryota; Metazoa; Chordata; Mammalia; Monotremata; Ornithorhynchidae.
AGCAGCGUGGCUCAGUGGAAAGAGCCCGGGCUUGGGAGUCAGAAGUCGUGGGUUCUAAUCCCCACCUCUGCCA